GUAAUUCUGCUGGUUACAGUAUAUGUUUAAUUUUUCAUUUUUUUUAUCAAAUCCUCUUCAGACGCAGUUCUUAUUAAUGUCUACCACUUUUCUUAACCCAUUAAUGUCCAAGGGGUCGUUAACGACUCAUGGAUUAGGAAUAACUCUAUCACAGUGCAAGUGGUAGAUGGUGCGACUUUUGCAUUGGUAUAAACAAACUAUGCUUCCUUCAUCGUUUUCCCAUUCACUCGCUACGCACAGAAGCAUAUGUUUCUAGGUGCUUGUAAACACCGACGAAAGUGAGAAAAGUGAUCAGGUGUACAAAUUAUUAUUGGAAGAGUGACUGAACUUCUACAGGAAGUGGAUAAUUUGGAUAUCAAUGAUCCACCAAUUCUUCCUGAUGAAAUAUAUACAUAUAACUUCCCCUGCAAAUAAUGGCAAAACUACAGACUGUGAUUCAGGAGACAAGGAGGACACAUAUUCUGCUAGAUUGAGCUGCCGACAGCUUAGAGCAGAAGUAGAACUCAUGAUUUGUAGAGAAAAAAUGUUAUCAUAGGCAUAAAAUGAAACCUAGGAGGGCUUCUUCCUUUUAUACUACUUUGAAUGGACCUCUAUUGAUAAUCUGCCACCAAGCAAGAUGCUCGCUUUUUAAAAAUACAACAACUAAGGCAUGUGGAAGUCGUGAAUUUUCACUACAUGAUAAUUGUUUUGACGAAUUUCAUGAAUUUGAAUAAUUUUUCGUUCUUUUUUCACUUCAAAUCAUAUGAAUAAAAAAAAAUAUUAUAAACUUUUUUUCAUCUUGUAAGUGCCCAAGGGGUCGUUAAUGACCCAUGGUCUAAACCAUAAAUUACAAGUCAAAGUUUUUUUUUAACAUUUUUCUAGGUCAUAUUCAAUCAUUUUCUGACAAAACCUUUAUCAUUAUGAAACGAGUUCAUAGUUCUGGGCAUUAUUGGGUUAAGUUGAGAUUUCCUGCUCUUAUUGCUUGAAUUUCUUGCUUCAUCUACUUGUUCUCCUUUUCAAUUGUUGCGCCUAUUUCUUCAGUAUUUUUUCAUUUUGUUUUACUAGUGUAUCUAAUUCGUUUUAAAUAUUCCAGGGUUUAUUUCGACCAACAUUUUUCUCGGCGAGUUUUUCUUGUUUUGCUCAUCAUCACUUUCCUCUUCACUGUCUUCUUCCUCAGACUCUUUAUUUCUUCUGGUUGACUAGCAUUAAUUCUUUGUCUCGCAGACAGGUGCAUUGUUCCGUAGCGUGGUACCUACCAAGACAUUCUCCAUUGCAGCGAACUUUGGAAAGAGUUUUACCCACGGCAAGCUAUGCAUUUUUGGAGUUUUUUUUUGCUUCAAUUCUUAUAUAAAGCAAAUGUACGUCUAUUGAAUCCAAGCUGUUUACACCUGUUAUCAGACUUGUCAUAUGUUUAAUCUCAUAUACUAUUCUCAGCUAAUUUUUGUUUGAUUAUAAUUACAAUUGAUAAUGAUUCACAUAGUGUUUUUUUGAGUAAAAAGUCAAAAAUCAAAUCACUUCAAUUAUAGCGAAUUACACUACUUCCACCAACUCAAACUUUUUAAAUAUAGAGAAAAAAACUUAUAGUUUCGAGAGUCGAAAUGAUCGUGACUAACUUCGAACGUUUCAGAUUAGGUAUUAUGAAUUAUUGCGACAACUGUCAUAACUGUUACAAUUGACACCUGAUUGACCGUAUUGAUUUUAGGGAAUGCCCACUCGCGUGAAGAAUUGAUAUUAUAUUUAUUUAUUUGGAGAUCAGAUUAAUAAUUUUUUAAA
Harmonia axyridis is the source of this 1752-nucleotide long non-coding RNA. RefSeq lists it as uncharacterized. The record is from RefSeq and is a predicted model, not a curated record. The transcript is spliced from 3 exons. Lineage: Eukaryota; Metazoa; Arthropoda; Insecta; Coleoptera; Coccinellidae.